AAAUAUCAACUCAUCGAAGUGAACCGAAUUUCUUUCUCUCUUCUUCUUCUUCUUUCUUCUACUUUCUCACUACAAAGCCGAAGCCAUGUUUGAGGACUCUGUAUUUUCCAUAGCCACAAUCUGGGCUUCCAUGAACAGUUGGCUCACACCCACUGUUCUCUUUCUCCUCCUCAACCUAGUGAUCGCCACCAUUUUCAUAACCUCGACCUUAACCUCACCAGACCAAAACCAGAACCAGAACAACCACCAUCAACAACAACGACUUCAUCCCCAACUCGUUAGAUCUCUUUCAGUUUUGAAGAAACUCAAAUCCUUCAACUUCAACACUUACAGAGCUCAAGAACCCACCACCCAUUUGCAAAAAAGCCCAGCAGAAUCCGAUGAACACUUCGAACAACCACAAGCACAACAACAACAAGAGCCCCAUUUGGCCAGGUCUCCGUCGAUGCUUCAGAGGCUCAUAUCCAUCAACUUCUACCAUCACUUAGCCCCAGCUAAGUCUCAAAAUCAAAACCUUGGAAACCCAGAACCAACGACGACCCGCUUCGAUUCCGAACAAGAGCAAAACCAACACAUCGAGUGGUCAGACUCAGAGUCAGAAGAAGAAGAAGAGACCCGAGACCAGUUCGAAGACGAGGUCCAUCAUGAUGUUCACAGCCAGCUGAAGACCGGUGGUGGUGGUGGUGGUGGUCACGUGGCCAGGACCAGCUCCGACACCAAACCCUCCAACGGCGAGGCUCCGCCGAAGCUGUCGAGGAAGUUGAAGAAGUCGGCUAGUGCGAAAUCGGCUUUCGGCCAUUUUAAGGAAGAUGAUAUCGUGGGGAUUCGCCGGCCGGAGACUGUGAGAGAAGGGAAAGCUAAGGAAGCGAAGGCGAAGACGGAGGAGGAGUUCGACGCCAAGGCCGAUGACUUCAUCACCAAGUUCAAGGAAGAGCUGAAGUUGCAGAGGCUUGAGUCCGUCACGAGGUACAAGGAGAUGAUCGGAAGAGGGGCUGCACAGUAAUAAAAAAAAACUUCAAAAAAGUAUUGGCUAAGCAUAAUUGGAUUAUACAUUGGAGGGUGAAAUCUUGUUGAGGGCAAAGGACUCCAAGUAAGAACAAGGGCAAUGCAGAGCAGUAAGCGCUGGAGUCUACCUUGCGAAUGUACAUGUGGACUGACCUUUUGGGAAGUCAUUUUAUUGUUGAAAAUGUUGUGUUAUUUUCCUAAACUAGGCUCACUCAACUCUUUAUUAAAUAUGUUUGUAUUAAAUGUUAAGUUUGGCCAUACGACUUUUAAAAAAAAAAAAUUAUACGGGUUUUUGAGUCAUUUGAUUAAAUGAAAAUAUUUAUAUUUCCACAUUA
RNA transcript from Humulus lupulus (European hop), 1340 nucleotides. It is a transcript of the gene named pathogen-associated molecular patterns-induced protein A70-like, with no coding region annotated. The transcript has 3 exons. NCBI's taxonomy places the organism in Eukaryota, Viridiplantae, Streptophyta, Magnoliopsida, Rosales, Cannabaceae. The record is from RefSeq and is a predicted model, not a curated record.